This is a long non-coding RNA of Haliotis rubra (blacklip abalone), 213 nucleotides long. RefSeq lists it as uncharacterized. Lineage: Eukaryota; Metazoa; Mollusca; Gastropoda; Lepetellida; Haliotidae. The transcript has 3 exons. The record is from RefSeq and is a predicted model, not a curated record.
UUCUUGGUUUACCAAAUGCUUCUAUUUCGUACGGAAUCGUUAGUCUCUUCAUCGGAGGUGGACAUUUGCUGGGACCACCUAUUGCAAGUUUCUUCUAUAAAGGAAGUGGGAUAUAUGAAUAUACCUACGUAUUUUCAGGUCUAUGUUCUGUCCUGAGUUCAAUAUCAGUUGCAUCCACAAGUGCAUUUAGAAGUAGGCGGCUAGACGAUUAAA